RNAcentral lists this ribosomal RNA (444 nucleotides) under uncultured bacterium. Its description in RNAcentral is "SSU rRNA". It matches the Rfam family "Bacterial small subunit ribosomal RNA", at positions 26 to 518 of the family's 1533-position model. The record is from RNAcentral.
AGAGCGAACGCUGGCGGCAGGCCUAAACAUGCAAGUCGAACGGACCCUUCGGGGUUAGUGGCGGACGGGUGAGUAACACGUGGGAACGUGCCUUUUGGUUCAGAACAACUCAGGGAAACUUGAGCUAAUACUGAAUAAGCCCUACGGGGGAAAGAUUUAUCGCCAUUAGAGCGGCCCGCGUCUGAUUAGCUAGUUGGUGAGGUAAAGGCUCACCAAGGCUACGAUCAGUAGCUGGUCUGAGAGGAUGAUCAGCCACACUGGGACUGAGACACGGCCCAGACUCCUACGGGAGGCAGCAGUUAGGAAUCUUGCGCAAUGGGCGAAAGCCUGACGCAGCCAUGCCGCGUGAAUGAUGAAGGUCUUAGGAUUGUAAAAUUCUUUCAGUGGGAAGAUAAUGACUGUACCCACAGAAGAAGCUCCGGCUAACUUCGCGCCAGCAGCCGC